This 21-nucleotide microRNA is filed under the name Bos taurus (domestic cattle). RNAcentral describes it as "bta-miR-3602". The record is from miRBase by way of RNAcentral. Lineage: Eukaryota; Metazoa; Chordata; Mammalia; Artiodactyla; Bovidae.
GUGUUGGGAUCACCGCGGUAA